GGGCCUGUAGCUUAGCUGGCUAAAGCGUCGCAUUCGCAUUGCGGAGAUCGCGGGUUCGAAUCCCGCCAGGUCCA
This 74-nucleotide transfer RNA is filed under the name Candidatus Saccharimonadota bacterium. RNAcentral describes it as "tRNA-Ala". It matches the Rfam family "tRNA". Rfam says of the family: Transfer RNA (tRNA) molecules are approximately 80 nucleotides in length. Their secondary structure includes four short double-helical elements and three loops (D, anti-codon, and T loops). The record is from RNAcentral. Lineage: Bacteria; Candidatus Saccharimonadota.